Molecule: unclassified non-coding RNA, 532 nt
Filed under: Melitaea cinxia (Glanville fritillary)
Lineage: Eukaryota; Metazoa; Arthropoda; Insecta; Lepidoptera; Nymphalidae
Description: misc RNA ENSMCXG00005001094.1
Source: RNAcentral
UGUUGCUAAGAAUGAUUAAAAUUAAAGAUGCCAUAAUAAGCUCUUUGGCUCUAAUUAGGAGUGAUCUUAGUCUCUAAAAUGCAGAAUGGGAUUUGAUCGAAAAAGCGAUUCCAAUCUUAAAACCCUUUUACGAAAUAACCCAAGAAAUAAGCACAGAAACGCACGUCAGUCUUUCUAAAGUUUUAGAUUUUACAAAUUUAAUGUGCAAACGUGUAGCUAAAGAAAUUUUUACGUCAAAAUGACGCACAAAUAAAGAUAUUACUAGAAGAACUUCAAAACCAAUUAAUGGCCAGAUUCCAUGACUUAGAAUCGAAUGUACUAUAUUCCGAUUCCUGCAUGCUUAAUCCUCGGUUAAAAAAAGGGGAUUUAGGACCCCAGAAGCCUUUGAACGUGCUUUGGGAGGAUUAAGGCCCAGGAUAGAUGAUGUAGGUAUGUGAUUAAAACCGCUUUGAAAUUAUUAAAAAACUUUAAAAAAGCAAAAGAAAAACAAAAACAAAAGGAAGUAAAAAAAUAAUAAUAAUAAUAAUAAAAA